CUGUUAAAUCGAUUUAUUUGGUGACUUGAAGGGGAGAUAUCCAAGAUACCAUACUGAUUCAUAUUUGGAAACUUAAAAUACCUUAAUGAAAAUUUUUUUUUGUGACUAUCCCUUAAGAAAAAAAUCUCCACGACUGAUAAUUUACUGAAAAAUGGAUGGUUGGGCAAUCCUCUCUUUGUCCUUUGUGGUGAAGUUACGGAGACAAUGGACCACCUCCUUAUAGGAUGUGUAUAUACUAGGUUUAUGCUUUUUUGAAAUUUAUAGGAUGUGUUUACAGACAGUGAAGGACGUACUGACGAUAUGGGGUAAAAUGAUCAGAAAUAUUAGGUCGGGGAAGAUUCUGUAGGAUCUUAUUACCGUAGCAGCAUGUUGGUGGCUAGUCUGGAAGGAAAGAAAUAAUGCGAUUUUUAAAAACCAUUUUGAUGAUCCUCUCUUCGCAGUCGGCGUAUCAAGAAAUUGGUAAGAGAGUGGAGGGACUUUUGUUGAGCUCACUGUUUGUAGCCAAGUUUUUUUUCGAAAUGAAUGAAACGAAUAGCGUGCUACCUUGAAAGAAAAAGAUUACUAAUCAUGGGCUCCACAAUAAAAACCAAUUUUCUGUUAAAUUAACCAAUACGUGCCAGGGCCCUCUUGUUUGUUUGCCAAGACACGACAAAAUGACGCGACAAGAUAAUAUUUCUAUAAUUAAAUAAAUAUAUUUAUAUAUAUACAUUUAUGUAGUUUUAAAAGUUAGUUGGGAUAAAGAGUAACGAUUUGCAUAUAAGGGUGUAUUUGGUUCUACGUAAAAUUAUGACAAUAAGAAUUCGUUGCAAAAAAAUUUCGAAGAAAAAUAAAUUUUACGCCCUCUACCGUAAAAUUCAAUAUUACAUAUACUAGUAUUAUAAUUUAUAUUUAAAAAUAAAAUAUAUUUAAAAUAUAUUAUACAUUAAUUAAGUAUGUAAUUUAAUAUGUGAUAAUAUAUAUUUAAUACUAUAAAAUAAGUUAAUAUGUAUUUAUAAAUAAUAUUUAUAUAUAAAAUAUUACAUAAUAAUAUAUUUAAAAAAUAAAAUUAUAUAUAUAUAAUGGAAGAGG
RNAcentral lists this long non-coding RNA (1068 nucleotides) under Ananas comosus (pineapple). RNAcentral's name for it is "long non-coding RNA (ACOM_LNC027576)". The record is from RNAcentral. Lineage: Eukaryota; Viridiplantae; Streptophyta; Magnoliopsida; Poales; Bromeliaceae.